This 185-nucleotide unclassified non-coding RNA is filed under the name uncultured Inocybe. RNAcentral's name for it is "sequence contains ITS2". The record is from RNAcentral. Lineage: Eukaryota; Fungi; Basidiomycota; Agaricomycetes; Agaricales; Cortinariaceae.
AGUUCUCAACCACAUCUUUAUUGAUGUGGCUUGGAUAGUGGGGGUUUAUAUUUGCAGGCUUUUGAAAAGAAGUCAGCUCCCCUGAAAUGAAUUAGUGGUAUCUAAGCAGAGACUACUACAGGUGUGAUAAAUUAUCUAUGCCUUGGUAUACUGCACAAACUGCUUCUAAGAACAAAAAUUGACCC